UGGGGAAUAUUGGGCAAUGGAGGAAACUCUGACCCAGCGACGCCGCGUGCGGGAUGAAGGCCUUCGGGUUGUAAACCGCUUUCAGCAAGGAAGAAGCGAAAGUGACGGUACUUGCAGAAGAAGCACCGGCUAACUAUGUGCCAGCAGCCGCGGUAAUACAUAGGGUGCAAGCGUUGUCCGGAAUUAUUGGGCGUAAAGAGCGCGUAGGCGGCCUACCAAGUCAGGCGUGAAAGCCCCGGGCUUAACCUGGGAAUUGCGCUUGAGACUGGUAAGCUUGAGUUCGGGAGAGGUGAGUGGAAUUCCCAGUGUAGAGGUGAAAUUCGUAGAUAUCAGGAGGAACACCGGUGGCGAAGGCGACUUCCUGGACCAAUACUGACGCUGAGGCGCGAAGGCGUGGGGAGCAAACAGG
This 409-nucleotide ribosomal RNA is filed under the name uncultured bacterium. RNAcentral describes it as "bacterial SSU rRNA". It matches the Rfam family "Bacterial small subunit ribosomal RNA", at positions 355 to 776 of the family's 1533-position model. The record is from RNAcentral.